This is a long non-coding RNA of Sphaeramia orbicularis (orbiculate cardinalfish), 387 nucleotides long. RefSeq lists it as uncharacterized. The transcript is spliced from 2 exons. The record is from RefSeq and is a predicted model, not a curated record. NCBI's taxonomy places the organism in Eukaryota, Metazoa, Chordata, Actinopteri, Kurtiformes, Apogonidae.
AAUAAACAAAAUGAAUAUUUGCAUCAAUAUUAAAUUAUUUACAGAGUAUGAACAAUAUUUUAGAAAUGUAGACGUAGAUGGUUUUACUUAAUUUCUCUCAAUAUUGAUUUUUUUUUUUUUUUUAUCAAUGACUAUGAUUUUAAAUGUUCUACCUUUAAAUUUGUAAGAUAUUUUUUAUGUUCUGACUAUAAAUAAUCAUUUUCUACCACAACUAACCAUCUACUUUCAUCACAUUUCACUAAGGAAGAAAAAUCUCCCAUUAAACUUUAAAGAAAUAUUGAUAUUAUUUAUAAACUACAUGGACAAAAGUAUUGGGACACAUUAUGUGUUCAGUUGUAAGAAGUCCUGUUUAUGUUGAUUUGAGGUAAAAACAAAAAUUUUAAAAAU